This 348-nucleotide unclassified non-coding RNA is filed under the name soil metagenome. RNAcentral's name for it is "partial contains 5.8S ribosomal RNA, internal transcribed spacer 2, and large subunit ribosomal RNA". The stretch from base 1 to 120 matches the Rfam family "5.8S ribosomal RNA", at positions 35 to 154 of the family's 154-position model. The record is from RNAcentral.
GAUGAAGAACGCAGCGAAAUGCGAUAACUAAUGUGAAUUGCAGAAUUCCGUGAAUCAUCGAGUCUUUGAACGCACAUUGCGCCCCCUGGUAUUCCGGGGGGCAUGCCUGUCCGAGCGUCAUUGCCGCCCUCAAGCACGGCUUGUGUGUUGGGCCCCCGCCCCCCGGCUUCGGGGGGCGGGCCCGAAAGGCAGCGGCGGCACCGCGUCCGGUCCUCGAGCGUAUGGGGCUUCGUCACCCGCUCUGUAGGCCCGGCCGGCGCCCGCCGGCGACCCCAAUCAAUCUUUCCAGGUUGACCUCGGAUCAGGUAGGGAUACCCGCUGAACUUAAGCAUAUCAAUAAGCGGAGGA